Long non-coding RNA from Rhododendron vialii, 397 nucleotides. RefSeq lists it as uncharacterized. The transcript is spliced from 2 exons. Lineage: Eukaryota; Viridiplantae; Streptophyta; Magnoliopsida; Ericales; Ericaceae. The record is from RefSeq and is a predicted model, not a curated record.
UUCUCGACAGAAGCCCAUAUUAUCGCUCACAGUCACAGUUGACUUACGUCUGACUUGGGGUUUCUUCCGUCACAACCCGAGGCUCGAUAGCCUUCAUAGAUCUGAAAAGUAUGUUUCAAGUGUGACCGUUCAUCUCUCAAACUGUACAAAUUUAUGCCAAACAUUGUUCUCGUCAUCGUUGUCAUCAUCAAGACUCCGGAAUGGGCUCUGCAAUGCAAUCUUUGCACCAUCGGUACAAAUCUGAUCAGUGCACACAUUCGGAUUAAUUAUUUUGUCAUUUGUUUGUGUGUGUUCCAAUUCGACGAUUCAAGUGUUUUUUUUUUGACAUAUGAUAUCUACCAACGAUGGACAUUGUAGUGUUGGUGAAAUUAAACUCACUUUUGAACUUGCACCUAAA